Molecule: ribosomal RNA, 484 nt
Filed under: uncultured bacterium
Lineage: Bacteria
Description: partial 16S ribosomal RNA
Rfam family: Bacterial small subunit ribosomal RNA
Source: RNAcentral
AUUGAACGCUGGCGGCAUGCUUUACACAUGCAAGUCGAACGGCAGCGCGGGCUUCGGCCUGGCGGCGAGUGGCGAACGGGUGAGUAAUGCAUCGGAACGUGCCCAGUAGUGGGGGAUAGCCCGGCGAAAGCCGGAUUAAUACCGCAUACGACCUGAGGGUGAAAGCGGGGGACCGAAAGGCCUCGCGCUAUUGGAGCGGCCGAUGUCGGAUUAGCUAGUUGGUGGGGUAAAGGCUUACCAAGGUGACGAUCCGUAGCUGGUCUGAGAGGACGACCAGCCACACUGGGACUGAGACACGGCCCAGACUCCUACGGGAGGCAGCAGUGGGGAAUUUUGGACAAUGGGGGCAACCCUGAUCCAGCCAUGCCGCGUGCGGGAAGAAGGCCUUCGGGUUGUAAACCGCUUUUGUUCGGGAAGAAAUCCUCUGGGCUAAUACCCCGGGGGGAUGACGGUACCGGAAGAAUAAGCACCGGCUAACUACGUG